RNAcentral lists this ribosomal RNA (372 nucleotides) under Amblyomma fimbriatum (goanna tick). Its description in RNAcentral is "partial small subunit ribosomal RNA". The record is from RNAcentral. Lineage: Eukaryota; Metazoa; Arthropoda; Arachnida; Ixodida; Ixodidae.
CUAGGAUUAGAUACCCUGUUAUUUUAGAGCCUUAUAUUGUAAGUAUAUAAAAAAUAUGAAAACAAAAAAUUAUGGCGGUGCUUUGAACUUUUCAGAGGAAUUUGCUCUUUAAUGGAUAAAACACCACAACCUUACUAAAAUUAGCAAUUUCAGUUUGUAUACCACUAUAAAAAUAAUAAUUAAUUAUUAUUAUUAGAAUUUUAUUUAAAAAAUAAAUUAAGUCAUGGUGCAGCAAAAAUUUUAGAAUGAAGUGAAUUACAUUAUUUUUCAAUUUACGUAAAUUGAAAAAUAAAAUAGGAUUUGAAAAUAAAAAUAGAAUAUAAUGAUAUUUUGAAAUAAGUUCUAAAGCAUGUACACAUCGCCCGUCGCUCU